This is a long non-coding RNA of Triticum dicoccoides, 3057 nucleotides long. RefSeq lists it as uncharacterized. NCBI's taxonomy places the organism in Eukaryota, Viridiplantae, Streptophyta, Magnoliopsida, Poales, Poaceae. The record is from RefSeq and is a predicted model, not a curated record. The transcript is spliced from 2 exons.
UAAAACAGCCCGUAUAGUUCAUCUAGAUAGAACUCUCCUCUCAUGGCGUGCAAUCCCCACCAAGCUUCUCAUCCCCAUGCGUCAGUGGUGAGCAUCGGGAAACUCGUAGAUGGAGAGGGGGAAUGCGUGAUGCGCUGCUCAAACUUCUCAUGUCCGGAGACUCGCGGCGGUAGCGGAGGUUCUGGAUCUUGGUGGCGUGGCGGAGGAACUGAGGUAGCUCCCAGAUGGGAGAACAUCAGCAAGAUGUGACCAACAUCUGUUGGCGGCUGCUUAGUUGUUGCCCUCAUUGCUGGUGAUGUUGGACUCCUACCAAAUUGGAGAUCAGAGUAAAGCAAAUAUAUGGAUUUAGGGGGAAACACCUACUCUACAUACGUCAUCAAUUGGGAUUCAAUACUUAUUACAUGCAUGAAUUUCUGAUUCCUCCGCAUCCAAGCAGUUAGCCACCAAGCGACCUGCAGAGAACACAAUCGAACCCCAACUAUUCGGGCCACUGCCUCUGAGCUCGCCACCCCUGUUUCAGCAAUGUAAGAGGCAUCUACAUCAAGCUUCAGCCAACCAAUCGCCGGUCUGUCAUUUUUCCUCAGGCGUCUAUAUCCCGGCCCUGACAGGAUAAUGUACUCCAUAGAGUUGAUCUCAACCUAGCAAGCGAUUCUCGCAUCCAUUUUUUGUUUGAUAUGAUAGUAAAAAAGGAAGUUUAAAUGCACAUAUGCUGAGUUGGGUAGCAAAAGCAUCAGCCUCACGUGAGACAUGCAGGUUAGUUUUUAAGUUCAGUAAUUUUACCUGCGGCUAGUCUUCUUUUCUUGCCUAGCUUCUGAAAUCUUGUUUUCUAAGGGUAGAGUUUUCAGGCCUGAAUCAAGGUCUGUGCCACGUUUACAAAUGUUGUAGGGUAGUACACGUAUUUUUUUGUAUGUGUUCUUUAUUCCUGAAUUACGACGAACUUUGGUGCCCACAGGAACCAUAAACUGAUAAAAGUCCAUGCCUUUCAGAAAAUUACACAUGACAUGCUUUUGAUAGUUCUAAUAUUCACACCCUUAUAAUCUACUACCUCUGUACCAAAAUAUAUGACGUUUUUGUAGUUCAAUUUGAACUGGAAAAACGUCAUAUAUUUUGGUACGGAGGGAGUAAUAAGUAUCUUUUAUCCUGUCAAGUACUCUUACUAUAUCUUUGGUAAUGUUUUUGGUGCUGAGUGCCUACAUAUAUGGAGUAAUUAAGAAUAAUUUUAUUAUACAUCAAUGAACAAAUGCGAAUCACUAUUGAGUCGAGAACUAUCAAACAUAAUGGUUUAUAACUAUCAAGAAGUUCCUAUGUUUCGGCUAUAUCCAGAUCUUUAUAUAUUUUUGUGGCACUCAUUUAUUUUGCAAGUAAACCUAUCUAAUAAACAAUGUAUCUCUCUAAUUAUCUGUUUGUUUUUGUAAUUGGACAUAUCAUUGAAUUUCUACACCAUGGUCGAGGUCACAAUAAGGACAGUUUAGUUGCCGAUUACAUCCUCGGUUAAAAGAUAAGCUAUCUUUCCCUGUAAUGUGACUCUGAUUUCAUCAGAAUUAAAGAGUGUAAUUAUAAAAGUUAGUGCUAACCACAUGGCGGAGGUUCAGUUAAAAUUUUGGACAUGCGAAUGCAUGAUGCACUUCCUCUCGUCUUCGAAUCUCAGUCUCAUGGAUAUAUAAAUCUUGUGGGUCCUUUACUUUUAUUCUUUUUUCCACCGGCUUUACUUGAAUAAGUAAUAUGAUGGCAUCUGUAAAUUUGAAUAUUAAAAAUAUAACCAUUAGAAAUUUAAUUAGUUGAAAGUCUUAAUUACAACUAUAAACAUACCUGAGCAUUGUAUAUCUGCUUCUGUCCAUUCUUGUAGUGUGACCAUGGUAGCAAACUCAAAGUAACAAUUUGGAAAAACUCCCCGCGCUCUUUUCAUCUCAUUACCUUUGUAUUGUAUGCUAAAAUACAUUUUUUGCAAGUUGAUCCUUUUGGUAUGUGGUAUGUCACUGUAUUGCCUGCUAUGGACAUGUGCAGGUAUACUUAUUAAUUUUGUGGUUAUUUUGUACUUCCUCCAUCCCAAAAUAAGUGACUCGACUUUGUACUAAACCUAGUACAAAGUUGAGUCACUUAUUAUUGGAUGGAGGGAGUAGUAUUUAUUCAUUAGCACUUCCAAUCAAUUACCACAGCUACGUUUGUACAGUCGAGUAACAAUGGGUUGCUAAGGGUGUCCGAGGAUUUCUUAUUCCUGUUGCAACGCGGGCAUGUUUGCUCACUGGGCAAUAUUUCGUGAUUUCCAGAACCUUAAAAUUGUUGAAUGCAUAAAUAUAUGUGCGCAUUGGUCUUUGAUAUGAAAUUGUCUAUUAGAUUCUUCUAGAUUGUAGUGUGAUUUGUCUGGCCAUACCAAAAGAAACAAUUAAACUUGGUAACAGUUGUUGAAAACACGGGAUAAUUUGCAGUUAAAAGAGCAUAAUUGUUCAUCCAUCGAUAUCAUAUCUAGGCUAAUAAGCUCAUCAGUUAUUGGAUUGAAUACAUUCUCAUCACUUACACUUAAAUGUUCCAGUUUUGUCUGCUUGUCAUUAAGUCACUCAACUUCUUACACGCCAUAGUAUUUUGCCUUCAAAUCAAUAGAAACUUAGUUAUCAAUUGAUAAAGUACAUAUGAAGAUGUUAUCCAGAAUAAGUGAGUUUACUUACAAAACCUGAUGAUUCAGGUGAGAAGCAGUUGGGCAUGACUUUGUUGGAUGUCGAGUUUUAUGCCGCGUGAAGUGGCUGACCUUGCUUCGUCAGACGUCGAGCUACACGACCCGUGGUGGUUUUACUGACUAAUACUUACGGUGCGUCCUGCCGCGCUUCGUCUUACCGGCAUACUUCGCUGUUCUUGGUGGCUUGUUUGAGUUGCCCUUUCCUGACUACUACUUCUUGGAUGUCUACUUGUGUGGCUGGUCAUCAAAAGUCGCUCUAGUUCUUGAAGGCCGUAGUAUUUUUCCUUCAAAUAUAUAGGAAUUAGUUGUCAAUUGAUAAAGUACAUAUGAAGAUGUUAUCCAGAAUAAGUGAAUUUACUUACUAAACUUGAUGAUUCAGAUCAGUA